GGGGUUGUAGCUCAGUGGUAAAGUGCUUGCCUUGCAUGCGUGAGGCCCUGGGUUCGGUCCCCAGCAUCACAU
RNAcentral lists this transfer RNA (72 nucleotides) under Ictidomys tridecemlineatus (thirteen-lined ground squirrel). RNAcentral describes it as "Spermophilus tridecemlineatus (thirteen-lined ground squirrel) tRNA". It matches the Rfam family "tRNA". From Rfam's summary of the family: Transfer RNA (tRNA) molecules are approximately 80 nucleotides in length. Their secondary structure includes four short double-helical elements and three loops (D, anti-codon, and T loops). Further hydrogen bonds mediate the characteristic L-shaped molecular structure. tRNAs have two regions of fundamental functional importance: the anti-codon, which is responsible for specific mRNA codon recognition, and the 3' end, to which the tRNAs corresponding amino acid is attached (by aminoacyl-tRNA synthetases). tRNAs cope with the degeneracy of the genetic code in two manners: having more than one tRNA (with a specific anti-codon) for a particular amino acid; and 'wobble' base-pairing, i.e. permitting non-standard base-pairing at the 3rd anti-codon position. Lineage: Eukaryota; Metazoa; Chordata; Mammalia; Rodentia; Sciuridae. The record is from Rfam by way of RNAcentral.